Molecule: RNA transcript, 4368 nt
Organism: Ochotona curzoniae (black-lipped pika)
Lineage: Eukaryota; Metazoa; Chordata; Mammalia; Lagomorpha; Ochotonidae
Gene: GGTA1
Gene name: glycoprotein alpha-galactosyltransferase 1 (inactive)
Exons: 12
Source: RefSeq, a predicted model, not a curated record
UGGGAUCCCCGGCACAUUCAAGGCGAGGACUUUAGCCACUAGGCCAUCAUGCUGGACCCUGUCAUUUCUUGUUUUGCAGGUGGCAGAAAUCAAGUCAUGCAAUGGACUUGUUAAAGGUCAUGCUUGCAACAUCCACUCAAAUGCAGACUCUACUUUUUGACCCCAGGAGUUGGAACGCGGCACCUUCCCUUCCUCUCAGCCCUGCCUCCUCCUGCUGAACGGACUCAAUAGGACUUUGUUGUUUUGCCUUUUACUCCGGAGGGAAAGAAGCAGAUGAUGAGGAGAAAAUAAUGAAUGUCAAAGGAAAAGUAAUUCUGUCAAUGCUGGUUGCCUCAACUGUGAUUGUUGUGUUUUGGGAAUAUAUCAACAGCCCAGAAGGCUCUAUUUUGUGGAUUUAUCAAUCAAAAAAUCCAGACAUUGGUGACAGUAACACUCCGAAGGGCUGGUGGUUUCCAAGCUGGUUUAACAAUGGGACUCAGAGUUAUCAAGAAGAAGAAGACGACAUAGAUAAAGAAAAGAGAAGAGAAAAGGAACAAAGAACAGAAGAUAACGAAGAAGAGCUUCAGCUCUGGGAAUGGUUUAAUCCAAAGAAACGCCCAGAGGUUGUGACAGUGACCGGAUGGAAGGCGCCAGUCGUAUGGGAAGGCACUUACAACAGAGCCAUCCUGGAAAAUUACUAUUCCAAACAGAAAAUCACUGUGGGGUUGACAGUUUUUGCUGUUGGAAGAUACAUUGAGCAUUACUUGAAGGAGUUCAUCACAUCUGCUGAUCGAUACUUCAUGGCUGGCCACAAGGUCAUAUUUUACAUCAUGGUGGACGAUGUUUCCAGAAUGCCUUUGAUAGAGCUGGGUCCUCUACGUUCCUUCAAAGUGUUUGAGAUCAAGCCGGAGAAGAGGUGGCAGGAUGUCAGCAUGAUGCGCAUGAAGACAAUCGCGGAGCACAUUUCUGCCCACAUCCAACAAGAGGUGGACUUCCUCUUCUGCAUGGAUGUGGACCAGGUCUUCCAAAGCAACUUUGGAGUGGAAACCCUAGGCCAGUCAGUGGCUCAGCUGCAGGCCUGGUGGUACAAGGCAGAUCCUGACGAGUUUACCUAUGAGAGACGGAAAGAAUCGGCAGCGUACAUUCCAUUUGGACAGGGGGAUUUUUAUUACCAUGCAGCCAUUUUUGGAGGAACACCCCUUCAGGUACUCAACCUAACCAAGGAGUGCUUUAAGGGAAUCCUCCAGGACAAGCAAAAUGACAUAGAAGCUGAGUGGCAUGAUGAAAGCCACCUGAACAAGUAUUUCCUGCUCAACAAACCCACUAAAAUCUUAUCCCCAGAAUACUGCUGGGAUUAUCACAUAGGCCUGCCUUCAGAUAUUAAAGUUGUCAAGAUAUCUUGGCAGACAAAACAAUAUAAUUUGGUUAGGAAUAAUGUCUGACUUUAAGGUGUACCAGUAGGUUUCUGAAAUUGAGAGUAUUAUUCUGGCUACUUCUGCAGAAAAGUAACAAUUUAACUUAAAAAUCUACUAACAGAACACCAACACAGCAAACACACACUUAUUUCUCCUUGUAGCUUUGAGCCUUGUCAUAUGGGGAAAAUGAACCUGUGGUAAUCAUGUGUAAAUUCCCAGUGGUUUCUUAUCUGUUCUGGGUUUGGGGAAAAUACUGUCAGGUGAAUCAAAAGGAAUCUAUCAUAGGCAAAGAAAAAGCCAGAAAGACUACACGUAUCAGAUACUGGAGUAAAGUGUGCCAAGGGAAGUAUUUGGCAGCAAGAUAUGGCUAAAGGGGUUGGCCGCCUUGGUUUCUGUGUCUUCUUGUGUUUUGGGGUGAGUUGUAAGCAACAGAGUUGCUUUACAGCAGGUGAACUCAGCAGUAAGGACACCAUCUUGGUCAUUCAAAUGAGCUUCAAAGCAGAUUGUUUUAGGCCAUUUGCAUCCUCUUCCUUUGCCUCCUCAGGAUGUUGUUUGUGAAGGAUUAGUGGAGGUCCCCAGUGCUUGUCAUGGUGUGUGUUCCACGUUCUUGGGAGUCAGUGAGAACUGAAGACAGAACAUCCCCACCUGAGCCUGCCGUGGAAUAGCAGAGAGAGUGGAAAUAGAGGUGGGCUUGGCUUGUCGUUGUGGGGCAGUGUCACCGUGAGUGACACAGAGCAUGGGGUUGGCACUGGACUGUGUUGCACAUCCAGACACUGAACUGGAAGCGUUGUGUUCAGUCUCCUUGAUGGUGUGACUAAGACAGCAGCAAGCACUUGAAUGGAUGGAGCUUCCUGCCUUGCUCAGGUCACACGCAGUCGGCUGCACUCUCCCGCUCCUUGGUGAGGAGAAGGGGAAGACCCAAAGCAGAUGGCCUCAAGGAGUUAACAUUUUCAGUCCUUAGCAUGCCGCUCGUUCUAAACCUCAGGAUGCCUUAUGAUAACCAGCUUGGAGAGCUGACAGCAACCAGUGGCCUGGAGAAAAAACCCUUCUCAAGAUCCUUGUGUUUCACCCCGCUUCAUUUGCACCGUGGAAGUAUAACGACCAGAAGUAUUUGACGAAACAAGUUAACUGAUACCCAGGCAUCUGACUUAACCACAUUCAGAUCCUUUCUCUUAAGAGAAGCUGUGAAAUCCUACAUAUUAUUUGAAUGAAUCAAAUGUCAGAAAAGAAACUGAUGACAUCACAAUUCACAGAAGACUGAAAUAACCAACACAAACUGGAGUGCCACAGCCCCAAUACUGGCUGGCUGAGUCAUGAGUUUCCAAGGGACUCACAAUGUUUUGUUUGAAAACUGUUUGCCCUCUGAGGCUCCUCCACAUAUCUUUUCAAACUACUGUAUCAUAAAUGUUAAGAAACACCAGUGAAGAAUCUCAAAAUUUUAUGAAGCAAAGGAAAGAAUGAGACUGAAAAUAAUAAUUCUAUCAUCAUUGAUUUUAUUGUCUUUAUGUGCUUUGUAUAGGAAGUAUUAUUUCAGCACAAAGAAACUACAGAGGGUGUAUGAGUGUUGGUAUCUGAAAACUCAGCCUAAGUUACAGCCUUCGGACUGGUUCUAUCCUAUGUAAGAAUCCAAAUCUUGCACGUAAGAGGUGAACAGAUGGCAACACUACCAAGCUGGCAUUCUAAAUAUUGGAGAAGAGAUGGAUCUUUGAUUACAUCCUUAAAAAAGAAUUAGGUGGUGGUUAACCCAUGGGAUCAGACAUUUGGACUCAUCUUCCAUGAGAGUUUAAGUCACAUCAGCUCAAAGGUUCUAGAAUAACAACAGGUCCAAAAUGUGAGGGUGCACUUGAGAUUGUUUGGUUGGUUGUUUUUGUGUGAGAGAGAGCUGGAGCCCAAAGGGGGCAGUUGGGAUGUCUGUGUACUUCAUGCUUUUAACAGCACCUUUUCUCUGGCCCCUCGACUUCCACUUGCUGCCUCUACCCACCCAACUUCUACCCUCACGCCCUGGGCGUUAACGCAUUUCCCUAAUUAAAACUGUGAAAGGAGACACUCAGGCUACGAUCAUUAUUCAAGAUCGUGGCUGGUGUCUGUCUCAUCCUCUCAUGACAUCAUAACCUUUGUCAGAGACUAAUCAGGGCACAGAAAGACCACCACUUACAUGACGAAUUAUUCAUUACAAUUAUGCAUCGUGUAGUGGCAAGGAUGCAUUCUGGAAACCGCCUCAUUAGGAUGAUUUGGCAUUGUUGGAACAGCUCAGUGUGCUUACACACAGAUGGCUAUGAUGUCAUGAGGGGAUGCAAUUGUAAGAGACCACUCUCAUGUGAAUAGCACGUGACUGCAGUACAGUGAUCAACAAGGGAGGGAAGCCUGCAGAGAACUUUAAGGUAUCACGGAGAUAAACAGCUAUGGGAACUAUUUCCCCUGGGGCUGAGGGCUAAAAGGAAGAAUCUGGAAUUAUUUAACCCAGAGAGGAAGCUCCUGGAACUUGAGGUCGGCUGCUGCUCAGCUGGUGCUGCUGUCUCCAACCUUUGUGCGGGCAGCUCGUGCUGGGAAGCAGCACCUCUACGGAGGGGUACCACGAGGCUGGUCUUGAGGGCGUUAGAAAAACUGAAAAUCGACUUCAACUGUUGCUCUACUAGGCAUUUGAUAGUAUUGGGGGUGAAGAAGUGUUGCUGAGAUAGGACUUCCCGGCACAGGAAGCACACAAGAAACCCACACAAAACAGGAAAGAGUGUUUCUUCCUCUUCCCUCCGCCUUGCAAUGGUCCUCGCAUGGAGGAAAUAGCCUGCCAAGGCUCCAGCUGGCAAAGGAGAAGCAGCAGUCUCAACUCCAAGCUGAUGCAGCAGUCUCGGGUGCAGGUUUACUCAUGAAGACAACAGCCUGACAUGCUCGCUCCCUCACAGGACAAGCAGGGCAGAUCCCCCUUACUUAAGGUGACGAUUUUUCACACAAUUGCACAAAGGAGAAAUCCGUAUAA